UACGUAGGGACCGAGCGUUGUUCGGAUUGACUGGGCGUAAAGGGCGUGUAGGCGGUUGGUCAAGUCUGAUGUGAAAGCCCGGGGCUCAGCCCCGGAAGGGCAUCGGAAACUAGCCAGCUGGAGCGCGAUAGAGGAGGGUGGAAUUCCUGGUGUAGCGGUGAAAUGCGUAGAUAUCAGGAGGAACACCGGCGGCGAAGGCGGCCCUCUGGAUCGUUGCUGACGCUGAGACGCGAAAGCGUGGGGGAGCAAACAGG
This 254-nucleotide ribosomal RNA is filed under the name uncultured bacterium. RNAcentral's name for it is "partial 16S ribosomal RNA". It matches the Rfam family "Bacterial small subunit ribosomal RNA", at positions 524 to 776 of the family's 1533-position model. The record is from RNAcentral.